GAUGAACGCUGGCGGCGUGCCUAAUACAUGCAAGUCGAACGAAACUUCUUUAUCACCGAGUGCUUGCACUCACCGAUAAAGAGUUGAGUGGCGAACGGGUGAGUAACACGUGGGCAACCUGCCCAAAAGAGGGGGAUAACACUUGGAAACAGGUGCUAAUACCGCAUAACCAUAGUUACCGCAUGGUAACUAUGUAAAAGGUGGCUAUACUACCGCCUUUGGAUGGGCCCGCGGCGCAUUAGCUAGUUGGUAGGGUAAAGGCUUACCAAGGCAAUGACGCGUAGCCGAAUUGAGAGGUUGAUCGGCCACAUUGGGACUGAGACACGGCCCAAACUCCUACGGGAGGCAGCAGUAGGGAAUCUUCCACAAUGGGCGAAAGCCUGAUGGAGCAACGCCGCGUGGGUGAAGAAGGUCUUCGGAUCGUAAAACCCUGUUGUUAGAGAAGAAAGUGCGUGAGAGUAACUGUUCACGUUUCGACGGUAUCUAACCAGAAAGCCACGGCUAACUACGUG
This 512-nucleotide ribosomal RNA is filed under the name uncultured bacterium. RNAcentral describes it as "partial 16S ribosomal RNA". It matches the Rfam family "Bacterial small subunit ribosomal RNA", at positions 28 to 507 of the family's 1533-position model. The record is from RNAcentral.